This 482-nucleotide ribosomal RNA is filed under the name uncultured bacterium. Its description in RNAcentral is "partial 16S ribosomal RNA". It matches the Rfam family "Bacterial small subunit ribosomal RNA", at positions 28 to 523 of the family's 1533-position model. The record is from RNAcentral.
GACGAACGCUGGCGCCGUGCUUAACACAUGCAAGUCGAACGAUGAAGCCCAGCUUGCUGGGUGGAUUAGUGGCGAACGGGUGAGUAACACGUGGGCAACCUGCCCCAAACUCUGGGAUAACUCCUCGAAAGAGGUGCUAAUACCGGAUACGAACUAGACAGACAUCUGUACUAGUUGGAAAGUAUUUCGGUUUGGGAUGGGCCCGCGUCCUAUCGGCUUGUUGGUGAGGUAACGGUUCACCAAGGCUACGACGGGUAACCGGCCUGAGAGGGCGACCGGUCACACUGGGACUGAGACAUGGCCCAGACUCCUACGGGAGGCAGCAGUGGGGAAUAUUGCGCAAUGGGCGAAAGCCUGACGCAGCGACGCCGCGUGAGGGAUGAAGGUCUUCGGGUCGUAAACCUCUUUCAGUAGGGACGAAGCGAAAGUGACGGUACCUAAAGAAGAAGCACCGGCUAACUACGUGCCAGCCGCCGCCGUAA